Molecule: ribosomal RNA, 253 nt
Filed under: uncultured bacterium
Lineage: Bacteria
Description: partial 16S ribosomal RNA
Rfam family: Bacterial small subunit ribosomal RNA
Source: RNAcentral
UACAGAGGGUGCGAGCGUUAAUCGGAAUUACUGGGCGUAAAGCGCGCGUAGGCGGCUUUGCAAGUCGGGUGUGAAAUCCCCAGGCUUAACCUGGGAACUGCAUUCGAGACUGCAUGGCUAGAGUAUGGAAGAGGGAAGUGGAAUUCACGGUGUAGCAGUGAAAUGCGUAGAUAUCGUGAGGAAGACCAGUGGCGAAGGCGGGUCUCUGGACAGUUCCUGACGCUGAGGCGCGAAGGCCAGGGGAGCAAACGGG